CUAAAAUGAGCCCGGGUAUAAGGGGAAAUUAGACUUCCCUGUCUCCCUGGGGGAGUAGCACAGAAAUUGCCCCCGUCUGUAUGAUUUGACGUGUGAGGAAGGCCAGCUCGGUUUCCUGCUGGUCUCGGCACAGCAGCAGGGUAACUUAGUCCUCCUUCACUGCAGGGUGGGCCCCGGGUGCAGCUUCGGGUGCAGGAAAUCCACUGUGCUCGGGAGUGCAUGUGCCGGAGGUGCUCCGUGUGCUGAAGGUCAGUUUUGGUGCCUGUUCUAGGUGAAUGAUGUGCAGGAAAGCAAAGAGCGUUGCAGAUUUCAGGUUGGGAAAAUUGCUUCUGACGGUACCGCAUAGUGGCCAUCAGUGUCUACGUUUUGCCAGUAAAGAAAGAGAGUGUCAAAGAUUAAGCAGUUGGACAGCCUCGAGUCGCUUGGUGACUUUCUGCAAAAAUGAAAUAAUCCAAAGCAUUAUUUCCGCAAUCAAAAUCAAGAUCCCUGUACUACAGGAGUACCAGAAAUUGGAGGGAGCAUCGCUGUAGGGAGAGAUGAACUGUGGUUGGGAUCCUGGAUCAGGGCUGGCUGUGGGACCUCCGCUGUGUCCCUGGAUGCCUCCAAGCAGCUAUUCCCUUCCCAUACAAUGAAGAUUAUA
RNAcentral lists this long non-coding RNA (640 nucleotides) under Ursus maritimus (polar bear). Its description in RNAcentral is "lncRNA (ENSUMAG00000001997.1)". The record is from RNAcentral. Lineage: Eukaryota; Metazoa; Chordata; Mammalia; Carnivora; Ursidae.